Molecule: small nuclear RNA, 107 nt
Filed under: Vicugna pacos (alpaca)
Lineage: Eukaryota; Metazoa; Chordata; Mammalia; Artiodactyla; Camelidae
Source: RNAcentral
GUGCUUGCUUCAGCAGCACAUACACUAAAAUUGGAAUGAUACAGAGAAGAUUAUCAUGGUCCCUGCGCAAGGAUGACAAGCAAAUUCGUGAAGCAUUCCAUUUUUUU